GUGCUUAAUUAAUUCUUUUGAUUUCGUGUUUAAUUUUUAGGAGUUCCAUCCCAGGUUCAAAAACCACAAAGAAUUCGUUUGUAUUAGCAUUUGUCAAGGAUGUUUUCACUAAUCAAGAACGAAAAUUGGGGACUCAAAGACGGAUCAAAUACCGUCCUAGUCUCAACCAUAAACGAUAUUGACCAGAGAUCGGCAAAUAUUGUUUUUAUUGACUCCGCUGGUACCUUAUGAGAAAUUAAAAUUUUUGGAU
RNAcentral lists this non-coding RNA (250 nucleotides) under Nicotiana sylvestris (wood tobacco). Its description in RNAcentral is "Eukaryotic small subunit ribosomal RNA". It matches the Rfam family "Eukaryotic small subunit ribosomal RNA", at positions 833 to 1112 of the family's 1831-position model. Lineage: Eukaryota; Viridiplantae; Streptophyta; Magnoliopsida; Solanales; Solanaceae. RNAcentral also lists the same sequence under 1 other name. The record is from Rfam by way of RNAcentral.